GUAGGGAAUAUUGGACAAUGGGCGAAAGCCUGAUCCAGCAAUGCCGCGUGUGUGAAGAAGGCCUGCGGGUUGUAAAGCACUUUCAGUUGGGAAGAAAAGUGUUUGGCUAAUAACCAAGUACCUUGACGUUACCAAUAGAAGAAGCACCGGCUAACUCUGUGCCAGCAGCCGCGGUAAUACAGAGGGUGCAAGCGUUAAUCGGAAUUACUGGGCGUAAAGCGUGCGUAGGUGGCUAAGUAAGUCAGAUGUGAAAGCCCAAGGCUUAACCUUGGAAUUGCAUUUGAUACUGUUUAGCUAGAGUACAGUAAAGGGAAGCGGAAUUCCUAGUGUAGCGGUGAAAUGCGUAGAUAUUAGGAGGAACACCAGUGGCGAAGGCGGCUUCCUAGACUGAUACUGACACUGAGGUACGAAAGCGUGGGGAGCAAACAGGAUUAGAUACCCUUGUAGUCC
RNAcentral lists this ribosomal RNA (450 nucleotides) under uncultured bacterium. RNAcentral describes it as "bacterial SSU rRNA". It matches the Rfam family "Bacterial small subunit ribosomal RNA", at positions 354 to 796 of the family's 1533-position model. The record is from RNAcentral.